Molecule: long non-coding RNA, 1203 nt
Organism: Oryza brachyantha (malo sina)
Lineage: Eukaryota; Viridiplantae; Streptophyta; Magnoliopsida; Poales; Poaceae
Exons: 3
Source: RefSeq, a predicted model, not a curated record
AUUUCUUGCCGUGCUGAUGACUUGUGUCUCACGUCAGAAGAAUUAUUCAGCAAGUGCCAUAUGGUUGUAACUUCCGAACCUGCAUCCAGAAUCAAGGUGUGAGUAGAAGGAAACAGGUGAAUCCGACUGGUACUCCUCAAGCAUUUCGUGUAGGCACCUGCUGUCAGAGCUCCCUUUGGUAUCUUCUUGAAGCUCUUGAUCAUCACAGUUGAGAAAAUCCUUCAGCUCAGCGAAGCCAUCAUGAUCGCCACAGUUGGAGUUGGAGGCUCUGCACUCUCCUUCAUGAUCACCAGAGUGGAUUGUCCCACCCUGCGCAAAUGUCAGAAUUCACUUGAGCUCUCAAAUGCAGAGCUCACAGACCUUCCAAACUGAAUGCACCUGUUCAUGGAUGGAUGUAUAUAUCUUCAGACAAUGGAACAAUGUGCACUUCUAUUUCUAUACCUACAGAUAGUAGCAACAACUAGCAAGCACUAAUGAAACAACUACACUGAAGCUAUCAUCAACUCAUCUACUGGUUAUUGAACUAUAUAGAGCUGUAGCACUCAAGAUGGUCUCUCUAGGUGGUGUUAAAUUUUGCAGGCAUGCAGCUGUGGGUCAGGAUGGUUUAGUGCACAUGCUUGUCUCAAGCUGCUAGUGGAGAAUCUUUGCCCCCUGCUUUGCUUCAAGAAUUCGUCAGAAAUUUGAAGAUGGCAUUUGGCAAAAAAGGGUGUUUCAACUCCUUUUUGAAUCCCUUUUGGAAAAGAUAGAAUGCGGAUUUCCCUCUUUUUGCCACAUCACAGAGAAAAUGGUAGAAAGUAAGAAGGUGCAGAUUUGCGCCCAUGACGUGCAGAAAUGUGCUCCGGUGGGUUCUACAAGGAAAGAAAAAGCUCAGGCAAAGGGAAUGAAAGAAAGAAGCUGAAGCAUCCCUUUCACAAAUCACAAGAUGGUGACCUACAUCAAAUUCACUCAAAGAGAAAAAUGAGGCUAAUCUUAUAUUUUGCAAGAAUUCAAUUUAGAGUUGUACCCAUGGCUUGCAAUCCUGGAACUGCAUGGAGGUAUGCAACUUACCACACCAUAAAAGAUUUCACAAUUCUCAUUUUUCAUUCAAAAAAUUGCAAAAAUGCAAAAACCACAGAGAAGAGAAGGUAGCCAGUAAAAGUAGGACAGAAAGUUGAAAGGGACAUUUGGGCAAAAAGCAUUCAAAAUCCCAAUACCAAAACCUUU